RNAcentral lists this ribosomal RNA (253 nucleotides) under uncultured bacterium. Its description in RNAcentral is "partial 16S ribosomal RNA". It matches the Rfam family "Bacterial small subunit ribosomal RNA", at positions 524 to 776 of the family's 1533-position model. The record is from RNAcentral.
UACGUAGGGGGCUAGCGUUGUCCGGAAUCAUUGGGCGUAAAGCGCGCGUAGGCGGCCCGGUAAGUCCGCUGUGAAAGUCAGAGGCUCAACCUUUGAAUGUCAGCGGAUACUGCCGGGCUAGAGUCCGGAAGAGGCGAGUGGAACUCCUGGUGUAGCGGUGGAAUGCGCAGAUAUCAGGAAGAACACCAACGGCGAAGGCAGCUCGCUGGGACGGAACUGACGCUAAGGCGCGAAAGCGUGGGGAGCGAACAGG